This 143-nucleotide ribosomal RNA is filed under the name uncultured eukaryote. RNAcentral's name for it is "partial small subunit ribosomal RNA". The record is from RNAcentral.
GUACACACCGCCCGUCACACCAUGGGAGUUGGUUCUACCCGAAGGCGAUGYGCUAACCGCAAGGAGGCAGUCGACCACGGUAGGGUCAGCGACUGGGGUGAAGUCGUAACAAGGUAGCCGUAGGUGAACCUGCAGAAGGAUCA